UUACACAAAUAUGAAGGCGGGCUGGAACCUCUCGGGGUUACAGCCUUGCUGAAUUAUUCACCCUUGUCUUUUGCGUACUUCUUGUUUCCUUGGUGGGUUCGCCCACCACUAGGACAAACAUAAACCUUUUGUAAUUGCAAUCAGCGUCAGUAACAAAUUAAUAAUUACAACUUUCAACAACGGAUCUCUUGGUUCUGGCAUCGAUGAAGAACGCAGCGAAAUGCGAUAAGUAGUGUGAAUUGCAGAAUUCAGUGAAUCAUCGAAUCUUUGAACGCACAUUGCGCCCUUUGGUAUUCCAAAGGGCAUGCCUGUUCGAGCGUCAUUUGUACCCUCAAGCUUUGCUUGGUGUUGGGCGUCUUGUCUCUAGCUUUGCUGGAGACUCGCCUUAAAGUAAUUGGCAGCCGGCCUACUGGUUUCGGAGCGCAGCACAAGUCGCACUCUCUAUCAGCAAAGGUCUAGCAUCCAUUAAGCCUUUUUUCAACUUUUGACCUCGGAUCAGGUAGGGAUACCCGCUGAACUU
This 520-nucleotide ribosomal RNA is filed under the name uncultured Alternaria. RNAcentral's name for it is "eukaryotic LSU rRNA". The stretch from base 169 to 322 matches the Rfam family "5.8S ribosomal RNA". Lineage: Eukaryota; Fungi; Ascomycota; Dothideomycetes; Pleosporales; Pleosporaceae. The record is from RNAcentral.